Molecule: long non-coding RNA, 619 nt
Organism: Otolemur garnettii (small-eared galago)
Lineage: Eukaryota; Metazoa; Chordata; Mammalia; Primates; Galagidae
Exons: 3
Source: RefSeq, a predicted model, not a curated record
UUGCUUACAUUUUAGUUUUGUUUUCUUGCUGUGUAGAUAUGUAUAAGGGAUUCUGGUGCUCAUGGGGGGGCAGUUGUCUCUAUCACAUUGAUUGUUUUCCAAAAGAUGUUUGUGUACUUGGAUAUCCUUUCAUAAUUCUCCACUCAGAAACUCCCAACUUCCAACCCUAAAAAAGUCUUUACCUAUAAAAGUUUCUCUCCUCAAUAUUCUAUUUCUAUGUGUGUGUUUUUAUACCACUUUGGAAAAGGAGUUCCUUGGAAAUUCACUAAAUAGUUCUGUUUGGGUCCAACUUACAGUUAUGGCCAACCAUUAUGAAGAAAAAAAUUAAAAUUUUCAUGAGGGAUGCUAAUAAUAGAUCUUGCCACGUGAACCUUACAGAAGUGCCUUAAGAUUCUGCCUGGAGGAUAGAUUGAGAGACUGACGUCCAGGGAGAGCCCGGAGGUGACCUGAGAUCAGAAAGCUCAUUAUGGGCAGAGCCCGAAAUAGAACCCAGGCCCUGUCUGUUUUACCAGUUUCAGGUCCAUUUCAGUGGACAUAUGGCAUGCCCAUCAAGUGACACAUACAUAGUCCCUCCAAAAUAUUGAGGGGACACAGUAUGUAAGUAUCCUGGUGUGGAGCA